Long non-coding RNA from Cicer arietinum (chickpea), 326 nucleotides. RefSeq lists it as uncharacterized. NCBI's taxonomy places the organism in Eukaryota, Viridiplantae, Streptophyta, Magnoliopsida, Fabales, Fabaceae. The record is from RefSeq and is a predicted model, not a curated record.
UGAGUCUGUAGAAUCUCACUCAAUUCCCUCUGAUAUAGAAGUUGAAGAAGAACAAAUUGAAAAAGAAGUAGAGCCUAAACGGGCUAGAGGUCCUACAAAAAUGUUAGAUGUAUGGAAAAUGGAAGAUGGUGAUUUAAUAAUCGUUAAUUUGGACAAAUAUGGUCGAUCCAUUGGUGAGGAAGGGACAACUCUAACUCGUUUCAUUGGUAGCGUAGCUAGAAGAGUAAAUUUGAGUUUGUUCCUCCAAUAAAUGACUUAACAAGAGAAAUGUUAAAAUCUGAGCUGAAUGAGAAAUGGAGGCAAUGGAAAGGUGAUCUAAAGUGAAU